GUCGACGGUAGAGGGGGCAACCCCUCGAGAGUGGCGAACGGGUGAGUAAUAUAUCGGAACGUGCCCAGUCGUGGGGGAUAACGUAGCGAAAGUUACGCUAAUACCGCAUACGAUCUACGGAUGAAAGCGGGGGACUCGCAAGAGCCUCGCGCGAUUGGAGCGGCCGAUAUCAGAUUAGGUAGUUGGUGGGGUAAAGGCUCACCAAGCCAACGAUCUGUAGCUGGUCUGAGAGGACGACCAGCCACACUGGAACUGAGACACGGUCCAGACUCCUACGGGAGGCAGCAGUGGGGAAUUUUGGACAAUGGACGCAAGUCUGAUCCAGCCAUUCCGCGUGCAGGAUGAAGGCCCUCGGGUUGUAAACUGCUUUUGUACGGAACGAAAAGGUCUCUCUUAAUACGAGGGGCUCAUGACGGUACCGUAAGAAUAAGCACCGGCUAACUACGUGCCAGCAGCCGCGGUAAUACGUAGGGUGCAAGCGUUAAUCGGAAUUACUGGGCGUAAAGCGUGCGCAGGCGGUUAUGUAAGACAGAGGUGAAAUCCCCGGGCUCAACCUGGGAACUGCCUUUGUGACUGCAUAGCUAGAGUACGGUAGAGGGGGAUGGAAUUCCGCGUGUAGCAGUGAAAUGCGUAGAUAUGCGGAGGAACACCGAUGGCGAAGGCAAUCCCCUGGACCUGUACUGACGCUCAUGCACGAAAGCGUGGGGAGCAAACAGGAUUAGAUACCCUGGUAGUCCACGCCCUAAACGA
RNAcentral lists this ribosomal RNA (750 nucleotides) under uncultured bacterium. RNAcentral's name for it is "bacterial SSU rRNA". It matches the Rfam family "Bacterial small subunit ribosomal RNA", at positions 61 to 809 of the family's 1533-position model. The record is from RNAcentral.